RNA transcript from Chroicocephalus ridibundus (black-headed gull), 2020 nucleotides. It is a transcript of the gene named RAB28, member RAS oncogene family, with no coding region annotated. The transcript is spliced from 9 exons. NCBI's taxonomy places the organism in Eukaryota, Metazoa, Chordata, Aves, Charadriiformes, Laridae. The record is from RefSeq and is a predicted model, not a curated record.
CCUGCUCGCGCCCGCCGGAGUUGUUGGUGUAGCUCCCGCCCGCUCGCUCCCCUCUCCCCCUUCCCUCCCCUCGCUCGUUGGUUUCGUCCCGCGCGGGCCAUAGCGACGGCGGGCGCGCUGAGGGAAGAUGGCGGCUCCGGCCUCUGUGGCGCUGCGGGCUUCGUGAGCGCGGCGCUCGCUCCUCUCCCCUUUCCCCUCCUCGCUCCCGCACCCCGUCCCUCCCGGCUGCCCUCCGCCUCUUCUCCUUCCCCGCUGCGGGCCUAGGGACCAUGUCGGACUCGGAGGAGGAGGAGAGUCCGGACCGCCAGCUCAAGCUAGUGGUGCUUGGAGACGGUACCACUGGCAAGACAUCCUUAGCCAUGCGUUUUGCCCAAGAAACAUUUGGAAAACAGUAUAAACAAACCAUAGGACUGGACUUCUUCUUGAAAAGGAUAAUAUUGCCAGGAAAUUUGAAUGUUACUCUUCAAGUGUGGGAUGUAGGGGGGCAAACGAUAGGAGGCAAAAUGCUGGAUAAAUAUAUUUAUGGAGCUCAGGGUAUUCUCCUGGUUUAUGAUAUUACCAAUGGUCAGAGCUUUGAAAAUUUAGAAGACUGGUAUAAUGCGGUAAAAAAAGUGAAUGAAGAAUCAGAAACGCAGCCACUUGUGGCAUUGGUUGGAAACAAAAUUGACUUGGAGCAUAUGCGCACAGUGAAAGUUGACAAGCAUCAACGAUUUUGUCAGGAAAACAAUUUCAGUAGCCAUUUCGUGUCAGCCAAGACAGGAGAUUCUGUCUUCCUGUGUUUUCAGAGAAUUGCUGCUGACAUACUUGGCAUCAAAUUAAACAAAGCAGAAUUGGAACAAUCACAGUGUAAAAACUGCAUGGGGUACAGCUUUGUUCCUUGGCAUUGGCAAGAGCUAGCAUUUUUCAUGUUGUCAGGGCAGGACUAGUGAAAUAUCCUGAAGAAGAUAACCAACAUCACACCACUUCCAACUGCCAGAGCAAAGUCUGCUCAAUGCAGUAGUUCAGAGGGUGGUGAAGGCAGAUAUUGUCAACUACAGUCAAGAGCCUGUGACAAGAACUGUUAAUCCUCCUAGAAGCUCAAUGUGUGCAGUUCAAUGACCAUGCUAUUCUUCUUUGUUUUGAUACCUUUGGCGAUCCUCCUACCUUGACACAGGCUCUGGGAUUACCAGGAACUUUGUUUUAACAGUGACCAUCGCAACAAUGCAAUUAGAGGUUUCAAAAACAUGUUGCACCAUUGUACGUUGACAAGCAGCAGGCAGUUGUUUGACUGGCCGAUGUUCAAACGUGAGACCACACACUUUGAAAAAUUAAGAUCUCUAUUCUUUUAAAUUAUAUUUAAAUAAAGCAGUAUAACUGUGUUUAUAUGUUUCCUCCUAUCUAUUUGACUGAUACCGGAAUAAAAAUGGAUGAAGAAGAUCUGCAUUCAAAACACUUUUAAAGACAUCACUAUGGAACGGUUUUUGCCAAAGCAUUUAAAAAAUGUUUUUCUCCUUUUUUUUUUUUCUUCCUGUGAUCUGAACUAACAGUCAUCAAAAUGUAACUUGGAAAAGCUAUUGCUGGAAUAAUUUUAAGCACAUAAUAUAUUUUAUCUAGGGAUAAUUUGGAAAGUAUUCCAUUAAUAUAUAUACAUAGAGCAAAAUGUAUAAAUGGUAUCCAGUAAGAAACAGUGCUUGAAAUAAAGCUGUAAUAUAAAAAUAGUUACUUUUCUGAAGUCUCAAGUUGUCUCCAUGAGUGCUCUGAAAAAUGCUAGUGUUUUUUGUGUAUUUUUAUUACCACAUCAACAUUUCUUCUUGCAGUAGUAGAUAUGCUCGUAUAUCUUCAUGAAUAUGGAUGAACCUCAGUCAACAGUUUGGGCUGUAAAUGUUGAGUGAUAUAUUCAGCAUGCAUUGGAAACUGUUGAUAGAUCAAUUAGGAUCAGUCAUUUUUAAUAACUGACUGAAUGACUUUUGGCCUGGUACUCUUUUUUCUUUCUAGUUCAGAGUAAAUGACAAAUAAAGAGCUGUCUGCUCUGUGAUGAUCA